GACGAACGCUGGCGGCGUGCCUAAUACAUGCAAGUCGAACGAGUGGCGGACGGGUGAGUAAUGCUUAGGAAUCUAGCUUAUGGAGUGGGAUAACUACGGGAAACUGUAGCUAAUACCGCGUACCCUAGGAUGAGCCCAAGUGGGAUUAGGUAGUUGGUGAGGUAAAGGCUCACCAAGCCGACGAUCCCUAGCUGGUCUGAGAGGAUGACCAGCCACACUGGGACUGAGACACGGCCCAGACUCCUACGGGAGGCAGCAGGGGGGAAUAUUGAGCAAUGGGGGCAACCUGACGCAGCCAUGCCGCGUGAAUGAAGAAGGCCUUCGGGUUGUAAAGUUCUUUCGGUAGCGAGGCGUUAACUACAGAAGAAGCACCGGCUAACUCCGUGCCAGCAGCCGCGGUAAUUC
Molecule: ribosomal RNA, 405 nt
Filed under: uncultured bacterium
Lineage: Bacteria
Description: partial 16S ribosomal RNA
Rfam family: Bacterial small subunit ribosomal RNA
Source: RNAcentral